Molecule: long non-coding RNA, 502 nt
Filed under: Brachypodium distachyon (stiff brome)
Lineage: Eukaryota; Viridiplantae; Streptophyta; Magnoliopsida; Poales; Poaceae
Description: long non-coding RNA (BDIS_LNC003032)
Source: RNAcentral
CUAAGUUCCUGGGCCUUCCACUUCUGCCAAAUAGGCCGCUUAGCACACAUGCAUGCUGUUAGAGGCCUCAACUCCAUAUUCCUUGGCCUUCCACUUCUGCCAAAUUGACUACUAAAACACACAGGCUGUUGUCACAAGCCUCGAUCGACUCCAGGGUGCACAGCCCAACUCCGCAAUUCUCCCCUCAGAAUUGCAUCCACCAAAAAUGCUCUGGAGAGUUUGACUCUGCAUGCAUCUGAAACUACAUCUUUUAGAAACCAGAGAGAAAGUAGAGAAACAUGCAUCUGAAACGCCUCGAUCGACUUCUGAGGGGACACAAGAGGCAAGAAUCGACAUAUAUAUGUAUUUGAAGGAGAGGUAAACUAGAGCUGAAAAAGGAGAUGACUGACUGAACAAAACAAAAACAAAAACAAACAAGGUGGUGCGGCGUCUCGUACGUUGAAGUGGGCGCUCCCAGGAUCGAAGUGCACCACAUUGGAGGGCCAGGAAUUAAAGGGGAGGC